Non-coding RNA from Heterocephalus glaber (naked mole-rat), 1104 nucleotides. Lineage: Eukaryota; Metazoa; Chordata; Mammalia; Rodentia; Bathyergidae. The record is from RefSeq and is a predicted model, not a curated record.
CAGCGCCUGGCGAAAAACACAUUUUGCUGGUUCAGCUUUCAAGUGUCCGUUUCCCUUCGGUUUAAAUGAAGAAACGAUGAAAGCCCUAGCGCUGCCAGACCCCUGAGUGCCGAGGGCACUGCUUGUGGGAGAGGUUGGAGUCCCUAACUGACUGCCUAGAGCUCGCCACCGAGCUGCCGCCGGCCAGUGCGCAGGGUCAGCGGGUGGGUUGUGCGGGUGUCCUUCCCGGCCUCUGCCCAGAGCCUGACGCCCCUGCAAACUUGAGUCAGGACAGAUGGCCUGAGAGAUCACAGAGGACUCCGAAAGAGGGACAGUGUAGUAACCUGAAAGUCCCAGAAGUGCCUGUAGCAGACUGAUUUAUUUGUGAGUUAUCUUUCUGAAGGAAUAUGUCACAUUACUAAAAUGGAUGAUGGGAAGCAUUAUUAUGUCUCUCCCGAAAACGCCAGCCUCACCGUUAAACUCUCCAGCAUCUUAUGACCCUAGGAAGUCAAAAGUAUCGGCCCUCAAGGAGACAAGAAGUAAAGUUGAAGGAUCUCAAAGACAAAUGAUUACAGUCAUUGCUAGGUGUGGUGGCACAGGCCUGUAAUCCCAGCACUCUAGGAGGCUGAGGCUUGAUCCCAGUGAUCCUCUGACACAGCCUCCCUGUUUCAAAAGCAAAAACCAAAUAAUAGCAGAGAUAACACAUACAAGACUUCCUGACAUAAGGGAGAAAAAAAAAUAUGGUGGAUAGUUCCAAACAUCUUCCUACUUCCCUUCAGAAUGAAUUCAUCCCUGUGGAAGUUCUGCUUUCCCUGAGCUUUGCCACCAGUGCUGGUCCUUAUCCGGAAAAUGUACUGCCUCCUACGAAAGUUAAAACCCUUAAGGGUACCCUUCCACGUGCUGUAGACCAUGUCUGGCAGCAGCCUAUUCGAAGGAAUAAAUUCAAAUACCUGAUUGACCAUCCUGACUCCCUAACGGGAGCUGCAAGGAUAUUUCUUUUCUGUAUGAUGUUAAAUAUGUAAAAGAAGAGACUAGAGAGAAUACAUUUUGUCCCCCACAUUCGGACCAUGCAUUACAAUCCAAAGAUGAUCACGAGAAACAUGAUGGUGUCCUCGUGCCUCACAA